AUAUAUAUAAAAAUUUAAAGUAAACAAUAAUAAAAAAUAUUUUAAAAUAAAUAAAUAGGGUUAUAUAAAGCAUGAAAAUAGUUUUAAAAUGAACGAUGUGCAUAUAGAUUAAUUUAAAAAUAUACAUAUAUACAUAGAGAUAAAAACUUGAAAUAAAAGGGGGCUUAAAGAAAAUAAUAAUAGUAAUAAUAAUAUACAAAACUGUCACUUUGUUAUAUGUAUAAAAAAUAAUUGGAAAUAAACUAUAUGAAUGAUAUGUGAAAAGUAUCAAAAACAUAUAAUAUAACAAAAUAGCCAAGUACACUCAAUAUACAAAAAAAAAAACGUUUAAAAUGGAUAAUAAUUCAAUUUUUAAUAAUCAAUGUUAAAACAAGUUAAAAUAAAUCAUAUACAUAAAUAAUCUAGUAGCAAACAGUAUGUAAAAUAUUUGAAAUAGUACAUAAUAAAACAUUCUAAAAUUAAUAAACAAUAAAAGUAACAAAAAGGAUGCAGGACGUGAUUGAAAGUGGGCCAGAAUUCAGGGUAUCGAUUGCAAAUGAAAAGAGAAGGUCACUGGGGGCUAAUUCGAAACAUGCUUAAACUCGCGGGGAUUAAUUGGGACAAUAUCCCAAACCCAAGCAUAUGUGUGCAAAACGGCAGUGUUUUGCAUGGCUAUUAAAGCCAAAAUUUUUUGUUUAUUUUUAUUUUAACUUCAUUUUCUUUCAAAAAAAAAAGGCAGAGAGCUUUCCUGCUCUCUCUCUCCCUCCUCCCUCUUCUCAUUUGGCUAGGGUAAUAUACCCAUCACGCCGGACCACCGCUCCUCCACCGUAGACGGUGGUCGGGGAGACGUAAAAUGGUCCCCUUAGCCUCGUUUGAAACGCCUUUGAAGGCUAGGCUACCAAAACUGAAAGAAUCGAAGGAGGCCCUCAACCCCCCCUUUUGGGUCCGAUGUCGGCGAUGAAAAAGUGUUCUCCGACGCGCGACCACGAGAUCCAGGUGAGCCCCUCCCUUUUCUUUUUUAUUCUUUGUUUUUUAUGCAUAAAAUAGAUAUCUAAAAAAUGAAAUAAAAUGAAAAAAUGAGAAGAUAAAAGAAACAAAAAAUAUUAAAACAACGACCUUUCUAAUUUUUAUUUUGCGUUUUGCUUUCUAAUCUCCGUAAAAAAAGAAAGGGAUUGAUUUUGGCUUUUUAUAGCCGAGUUACACUGAUUUGUUCUUUGUUUUUUCAUUUUGUUUGAUUCCUUUCGUUUUUUUUUGCUCGUCGUUUUCUCUUUGUUCGUUUCUCCGCUGUUGGUAUUUGCUUGCGUAUGGACCUUCAUUUUGCAGGUCGUGUCAGAGGCUGAUGGUUGGUGCCCCGAGCCGUGGUGGCACACGUGGCAGAGGAGGCAGCGGUUGAAAGUCUGCAACUAGGUUUUUUGCUGCUGAAAAUUUUUAGUUGGUUGGGCUGUCUUGGGCUUUAGGGUUUGUAUUUAAUUGGCUUUGGUUUAGUAGUGGGCUGAUGGGGUUUGGGUAGUUUGUAAUUUGGGCUAGGUGACUCUUGGAUUUUAUUUUUAUUUAUUGUAUUUGGUGUUUUAUUUUGGUUUGUUGGUAUGGGCCAAAAUUGGCUGCUACACCUACAAUUCAUAUUAAAGUUAGAAAAACAUGAAAUAUAAAAUAAUAAGGGUCACAAUUUGGGAUCCAAGGAUCACGCCAACAUUGAAUAUUCUUACCAUCACCAACGGACCAUAAGAGGUUUUCAUAAAUAAGGGGCCAAACCUUAGCAAUUGAUCUCUGUAGGAAAGAACAACGCCCCCUUGAAAUAUUUUCGGGUAAACCACUAGGAACUCCGUACUUUGAUCGAAGGACACGAACCCACAAAGCAUUGACAUUAGAGACAAUGUUAAAACCAAUCUUCAUCAUGAAAGAGGUAUUAUGAUCUUUCAAACGCCUUAGACCAAGGCCCCCAUGACCUUUCGGUUGACACACCGAGUCCCAACUAACCAAUGCUACCUUCGAGUUGCCAUUAGAGGAUCCCCAAAUGAAUUUUCGCACAAUUCAUUCGAUCUCAUCGCACAAACCUUUAGGAACCAUCAUUGUUUGCAUAAAGUAACUUGGGAUCGAAAGAAGGACAGAUUGAGCUAAAGUCACCCUAUCGACCAAGGAAAGCUGUCUGGCGUCCCAACUAGACAACUUGCUGCGCACUUUAUCGACCACAAAGCGUAGUGUAUUACUAGUAACCCUGUAAUGGCCCAAAUUUGAGGUUAUUGGAACAGUGGUUUCGGAACCACAAAUCCGAUGAGAAAAAUUUUAUUUUUCUUAUAUUUUUAUGGUCUACAAUUUCACAAAAUGAUUUUUUGAAAAUUUCGUUCGAAAAUUUCGACGUUUGGGCACUCAAUUUAGUCAAAAGGACUAAAUUGUAAAAAGUGCAAAAGUUGAGUUCUACAUGUUAGAGGUGUCCAAUUGUUAUGAAACUUUAAAUUGGAGGUCCUUAUAUGGUAAUUAUACCAUUGGUAACUUGGUAGACAAAAAUGGACAUGAGAUAAGUGAAAUAGAAAAUUUUUAAGUUAGGGGCAAUUUGGUAAUCUAGUAAUUAAAAUGAAUUAAAAGGGAAAAAGAUGGCAAAAAUCAUCAUCUUCUUCAUAUGAACGAAAUCAGCAAGGGGGGAAGCCAUAGUUAGGGUUUUCAAGCUUCCAAGCUCCAUAGUAAGUGAUCCCAAGCCCCGUUUUUAAUGUUCUUUACGUUUUUGAGAUCCCGAUAGCUUAAUUUAGCUUAUUCUAGCAAUAAUUUAACCUAGGGUUUAUAUUUGGAAAAAUACCCAUAGGUGAAAAGUGUUUAUUUUGAUGUUUUAUGAUAGAAUAUGAAGCUAGAAAUUAUGUUAAACAACUUUUGCUAAGCGAUUUUAAGUGAAAACGAGUAAAACGACAUAAUCGGUAAAAAUACCUAAUGUUCAUAAGUACAUGUUAGAGUGGGAAUUUGAUGUUUCCAUAGAAGGGAAAAAUGUUCAGAAUGUUAUAAAACAUAAGAAUAAGAGAUGAAGUUUAAUUUCCGAGCCUUGGGGCAAAAAUGUAAUUAUGUAAAAGUUUAGGGGCAAAAUUGUAAUUUUGAAAAAGUUAGAGUCGAGGGCUGUUUUGAUGAAUGUGAUUAUUAAAUAAGUUAAAUUUACUAUUUUAGAUCAAGAAGUACGAAACUCGAGGUUAGACAAAGGGAAGAAUAAAGUUGAAGACUAAGUUGGUGAAUUUGGCUAUAAUUGGUACCGAGGUAAGUUUACGGUAAAUAAAUGCAAUAUUUCAAUAUUUAUUAUUAAUGCUGUUAAUUUUCAGCAAUUAUGAAUUUAUUUUAUGAAUUUAUUUGAUGAUGAUCCAAGCAUGAAAUGAUAGAGAAUUAAAAUUUAAAAGUCCCGUUGAUACAUAAGGAUGGUACUGGAUACGAAUGUCAUGACAUUUGGGUAAAGAGAUCCCAUGUAAGACCAUGUCUGGGACAUGGCAUUGGCAUCCUUAAGAUCAUGAGAGGUCCCCUGUAAGACCAUGUCUGGGACAUGGCAUGGGCACCGAGACGAAAGGUCCCAUGUAAGACCAUGUCUGGGACAUGGCGUUGGCACCGAGAUGAGAGGUCCCCUAUAAGACCAUGUCUGGGACAUGGCAUGGGCACCAUCACGAGAACAUCCAUGUAAGACCAUGUCUGGGACAUGGCUUUGGCAUGUUAUUAUCAGAAGAGACCCGAGUAUCCUUAUUAUUCCAAUGUAGCUCAAUGGGCUUGUAAACGAAUCAUGUUCAUGAAAGUUCAGUUUAAAGCAUAAAUGGCAAGCUCAGGUAAGUUGUAAGACUUAAGAACUUAUUAUACUAUCAAUUGAUGUUCAACGAUGCAGCAAGGAUUGAGUAAGUUAUGCACACAAGUAUUCUAAGUAAACAAGUAAGAGAACUAGUAUGAGAUUAACUAAAGAGUAAACUAGAGAUAUAGACAUUGAGUUUAAUUAUUUAAGUUAAAUAUUGUUAUUUAUUUGCUAGUAAACUUACUAAGCUUUAUGCUUACUUCUUUUAUUUCUCUUUCUCUUAUAGUAUUGCAAAGCUACUUCAAGGAUCCUAAAGAAGUCGG
This 4047-nucleotide long non-coding RNA is filed under the name Gossypium barbadense (sea-island cotton). Its description in RNAcentral is "long non-coding RNA (GBAR_LNC011804)". Lineage: Eukaryota; Viridiplantae; Streptophyta; Magnoliopsida; Malvales; Malvaceae. The record is from RNAcentral.